AAAGUCGUAACAAGGUUUCCGUAGGUGAACCUGCGGAAGGAUCAUUAUUGAAACUUCAUCCGGGGCGCCGCGGCCCUCAGCACCGGUGGAAACGCCGUGUUGCGGGGGCCGCGUGUGCACUCGUCCAAGCCAAACCCCUGUGAACCUUACGGGAUGGCCUGGGUUAGCGCCCGGUGCCGUUCCGCUUUAUACAAACACUUAUAAAAGAAUGAACUGAAGGCGGUCUGACCGCUGGAUAACAAACUGAAACAACUUUCAACAACGGAUCUCUUGGCUCUC
RNAcentral lists this unclassified non-coding RNA (279 nucleotides) under Basidiomycota sp. Its description in RNAcentral is "partial contains small subunit ribosomal RNA, internal transcribed spacer 1, and 5.8S ribosomal RNA". The stretch from base 1 to 47 matches the Rfam family "Eukaryotic small subunit ribosomal RNA", at positions 1785 to 1831 of the family's 1831-position model. The record is from RNAcentral. Lineage: Eukaryota; Fungi; Basidiomycota.